ACAGAGACAUUAUAGUGCACUAUCCAAACUUAAUUUUUUAUAAUUCAUGAAUGAAAAUAUUUUGUAACAUGAUUUUAAUGUACCAUUUACAUGGUAAUGCAAUGUCUGAUUUUAAAAUGGGUUUCAAAGGAUGAAUUUUGAAAUUUUAAGUUUUCUACUGAUAAAUAAUUUCUUAUGAUUUCUAAUUCGUGAUAGAGAAAAAGGCAACUAAGAAGACUUUCUGUGACAAAGCUGAUUUCACCAGAGGAGGAACCAACUCAUUCCUUUCAAGUCACAAGCAAGUUUCGAGUCAAAUCCCAAGACCUCAAUGAGUUGAGGAAAAUGUACUGGUAACAACUAAAAUAAAGACCAAAAAUAUAAUUCAACAGAGGAUGAUGACUCUGGUGAAACAAGCACUCAAAUAAUGAAACUAAGACCAGUGGGAGUGCUGGAGAAAUCAAGUGUAUAAGUCCUCUGUCUCCUCAGCAUGGAAGAGAUCUUCAGACAUGAGAUCGAGGAGUUAAAUGAAGUCAAAGAGCUAAAAGAAGAUCACAAUAUUAGUGCCAAUUCAGUAUGAAAACAGAGAGAGAGCUGAGGCAGUGGAAAGAAAUGCAUGUUAUUGUGCAAGGGGUAGCUGCAUGGACUAUCAGUGGAGGAACAGAAAGCUCUGAGAUUUCAUUAUAAAGAUCGUCAUUUGUGUUCUGAAGAUGAACGAAAGACUUGUGGGUUUGGAACGAUAUGAUGACUACAUCAAAAAUAGUGUUUCCACAUCUGAGAUGAAGGCAGUCCAAGCAGAACAAUGAGGAUAACCUCUUCAAAAAAUGAAACCUGCCUGAAUAAUGUGCAUGAUUGCGUGAUUUCUAAGUAAACACUAAGUACAUUUGGUGUAACUCACAGCCUGUUAUUUUAAAGUUUAAAGAAUAGUAAAAUAAUUUGUUGCAUUUCUG
Molecule: long non-coding RNA, 926 nt
Organism: Onychostoma macrolepis
Lineage: Eukaryota; Metazoa; Chordata; Actinopteri; Cypriniformes; Cyprinidae
Exons: 6
Source: RefSeq, a predicted model, not a curated record